This 342-nucleotide ribosomal RNA is filed under the name uncultured bacterium. RNAcentral's name for it is "bacterial SSU rRNA". It matches the Rfam family "Bacterial small subunit ribosomal RNA", at positions 8 to 334 of the family's 1533-position model. The record is from RNAcentral.
AGGGUUUGAUUCUGGCUCAGGAUGAACGCUGGCGGCGUGCUUAACACAUGCAAGUCGAGCGAAGCGGCUGAAUUGAUUCUUCGGAUGAUUUUCAGUUGACUGAGCGGCGGACGGGUGAGUAACGCGUGGGUGACCUGCCCCAUACCGGGGGAUAACAGCUGGAAACGGCUGCUAAUACCGCAUAAGCGCACAGAGCUGCAUGGCUCGGUGUGAAAAACUCCGGUGGUAUGGGAUGGGCCCGCGUCUGAUUAGGCAGUUGGCAGGGUAACGGCCUACCAAAGCGACGAUCCAUAGCCGGCCUGAGAGGGUGAACGGCCACAUUGGGACUGAGACACGGCCCAG